GAAGGAAGCAGCCCGGAGAGGUGGCGUGAAGGAGGAGGACAUCGAUCGGAGAGAGGAACAAAGAGAAUUACAAAUCGUUACACGCCGGGUUGCGGUGCAGGCGAGAACAUGGUGGCGUGUGGAUGACGAGAAGUUAAUUCUUCACCUUUCCUAAAGCGGCCCUGCUGUAGGGACUGAGGGAGAGAAGCAAUCUGCACCCCACUAAUCCUUCUUAUUAGAAGAUCUAGUUACAACCAAAAUUACCAAUGGGGAAAGAAUUGUCCAGUGAUUAUAAAAAUCCAUCGGGUUUUUAUUUUGUAAUAUCUACAGUAAUUUUUAAGGGUGUGGCUUUUUUAAAAAUAGAGAUUGUAAAUUUAGGAAAACUGUGCAUCUUUCAGUAAAAAGUACAGAGGUUAGUGAUAUGAUUUCCUAAUUUUGAAAUGCUAUUUACUAGUAUCCUGUAAGCGAAACGAAUGCUUUGUAUUUCCGAAUUAAAAUGCUUAAAACAAUCAGUCUUUUUCACUGAGCUUACAAAUGGUUAUUUCUCUUCUUCACUAAUGUUUGAUUUGGCUUAGUAAUAACAUGAAGAGCUACAAAUCUGUCAUAUAGUAAUUUUGCUUCCUUCAUAUUUCAAUAUCUGAAACAGUGCAUUUUUAGCUACUUCUUUCACUGUUGUUAUAUCUUUGGACUCAGCCUUAGAAGUCUGGCUUAUAAGAAGGAGAGACAAAUCACCACAUCUGGCAAAUCAUUAAAAAGUAGGAAGUAUAGCAGAGUCUAAAACAGUAUAUACUGUACUUUUUAGUGGACUUGGAUGUUUUUAAAUAGUAUGGUUAACUUUUAACAUGUAAAACUAAUUUUUUUUUAUUCCUAUUGAGAGAGAGUACUUUAGCAUGAAAAAUCUACAUGUUCCCCUGAGAAAUAUUUGAAAAAAGUGAGUCUUCUACAUAAAUUAAGAUAUAAGGAUCAUGACAUGUAUAACCCGUCUAAUUUCUAAAUUAGGAGAACUUUGGAUCAAGAGCAUCAAAUCAAGCUUACUAAAAUAACGUUAAAGGAAAAGGAGCCUUUCCAUUAUUUUAUUAGAAGUGUUAUGAUUCAAAUCUAAAUGCUCAGUAUAUUAAUCCUGCAUUUUUCUGCUGUUAGCAACAUGUAUGCAGAAGUAACAGUGCUUUUUUAAAAUAAAGUUUGACUUUUAGUGUUGGAGAAAGCUUUCAAAAUCUUCAAUAUUUUGCCUUUUAGAAAGUCUUAAUCAUUGUGAGCUUCUUAUAAGACAAUGCUUUAACACCAUGUUAAUUAUAAAAAAAAGCAAUAAGUUAAUGAUUAUUCUUAUAAAAAGACUUGAUAUCCAAUUUGCAAUAGGUUGGUCAAGAUAUAUAUAAGGGGCUUUAAAUGUCAGUGAUACCAUUUCCCAAUGCUAAAUGACAGGGAUGGCCUCUGAUCUAGCAAUGUCAAAAGGUAAUAUUAUGACCACUAACAAAACAUCUGAUUGACGUUUUCAAUAGUUCAGCAGCGAGUCAUAUAAUAGUGAGAUCUCCUUUUUUAACAUGAACCGCCUUUGCCUAUAAAAUGGUUAGCCUUUUUUGUAAUCUUUGCUUGUAUUUUUGUUUUGCAGUUGGGUUUUUUACAAAAUUAAACUGUGCAAUCAGAACUCAUACUCCCCUUCUCCCCACAUAUACACACACAAACACGGAUGAGGAUAGGUUCCCUUGAAGAACUCACUGCCAUCUGACAUUGCUUUAAAGAUGCAACAACAACAAAUAUAUUUAAAACCAGCUGAGUUGGAAGAUAGGGUAAGUCAGGAUAUUUGGAUAAUUACAUCUUGAAACUUUCACUUUUAAGUCAUAAGUCUGAGGUCAAAAGUGAUUGAAAGUAAUGUCUUUCAGAGAACUCUGAUGGUGUGAAAUGUUUAUGGUUUCAGUCCAGUUCCUAUUAAAUAGGUGUCCACAUCACAGAAAUGAUGAUACUGUUCAGAAAUAGUAUCCUCAGAAGAGAAGCUAAGGAUUAUACGGGUAAGCAUAUUCUACUGCCUUCUCAUUCCAGCAUGAAAUCCAUUAAAAAUAUUAUGAAAGGCAUUUAGAGAGAAGCUUGAACUGUUACUUGUGUUCUACCUGUUCUGUACAUAGAGAAUUUCAGUCUCCAGUAUUCUUAAUCCAGCACUUUCAGGAAGACUAAUUUCAUGUAAGUAAAAGCUACCAUAUAAUCAAUUUGUCUCCUGAAGUCAUAAUCCUCUGUCUGUGACAUCACUAUCACUUACUGGGAAAUUGGCAUGGCGUGAUAAAGGGAAUUAUGACUUCAAAUAAGAAUUAAGCAGGAGGAACAUUAAAGAUAAUAACUGAAAUGUGGAAGUAAAUGGUGUUAGAGAUUAUAACAAUAAAAUAUAAAAUAAAUUGCUUCUAAAUAGUUUUUGAAAAUUUUCUUAUGAGGUGCCAAGAGGUCUCUGUGGAUUAAGCAGAUUAAAGCCUGUGAUGCCAAAGAAUUAUUGCAUUUACUUGUUGAUUUUCUUUAGUGCAUCCUUGAUAUAGUUAGAGUUUUAACACCAAAAGCUUUCUUUGGUACACAAAAUCAUAUGGUCUCUCUCUUAAUAAUUCAUUUAGUAUUAAGUUAAUACUCGAUCCUUAACGCACAAAAUUAUUAUAAAAAACAAGGGAAUUAUUUAAAGCCACAUUGUCAGCUUUCCUGUGACAAGGUUAUGGGGCUAGCAGCACCACUACCUCCUUUCUGGUCUCUCUGGCACCCCUUGAGGUGUGACCCAUCUUGGGGUGGAGUCUUGUGAUUCUUUUACUCUUAGGCCAGGACUUGGAUACCAACAAUUUAUCACCCUGCAGGGUACCUGCAUUUCUUCCCUUCAGGAUCUUGUGACAGAUAAGACUGACAAACAGCUUUCUUUAAAAAAUGUAUUUUUAUUUAGCAUUUGCUCAAAGUGUUACACAAUAAAAGGAUUUUUUUUUGAAAAGCCUACAUGUAAAGAAGCCUCAUCUAAUGUGCCUCUUCAUUUCAAACAUUUCAACAUGGGCUUUCCUCUUAAAUUACAGAAACAGAAGUGACCUGACUUACAUUCUCCUAGAAAGCUCAGAGAUUCUGUGACCCACCUUGGUCACCAUUCACAGUAUGACGUACUGUUCUUCUCUCCACACCUCUGCUUGUCUCUGACACUGAGAAUCUCUUCAUCUGGGUCUGUGUUUUGUUUUUCCAGUGAGCAGGAGCAUUCAUCAGGGUCUAUCCAGGAGAAUGCCCUUCUAAUGGCUGCUCCAUUGUUUGGGCAGCUGAACCUAUUCAGUCUCAAUGAAUUGUAACCACCUUCCGCGUGACUGUGUCUCCCCUUUAGCUGCAAGGGUCCAUGGGCUAUAACCUGAGUCUACAGAGCCUGCUUUUCCCACAGUGCCA
This is a long non-coding RNA of Chelonia mydas (Green sea turtle), 3360 nucleotides long. RefSeq lists it as uncharacterized. The transcript is spliced from 3 exons. The record is from RefSeq and is a predicted model, not a curated record. Lineage: Eukaryota; Metazoa; Chordata; Testudines; Cheloniidae.